This 279-nucleotide long non-coding RNA is filed under the name Elaeis guineensis (African oil palm). RNAcentral describes it as "long non-coding RNA (EGUI_LNC031267)". The record is from RNAcentral. Lineage: Eukaryota; Viridiplantae; Streptophyta; Magnoliopsida; Arecales; Arecaceae.
GCAGCAAAUUAACAUAGGAGACCAUCCUGGGAUGAGAAAGCAGAAUGGCAAAAUAUAUCCACAGAACAUUAUAAAUUGCUUUAAUUAUAACAGCACAGCUGCAACCAUAAAUCCUGAGUAGAAGGAAGGUGGCAAACAGGCUCAAUGUAAUUAACCCCUGAUGCCUGAAAUAAGCAUUUGUAAGUUGACAACUCAACUGCCGUCCUUCCACAAGCUCAGAGAUUGAUUGUUGCCUCCCAGGGUAUAAAAUAAGCUGAAACAAACCUAAAACAGUGACAG